Non-coding RNA from Sodalis sp. TME1, 141 nucleotides. Lineage: Bacteria; Pseudomonadati; Pseudomonadota; Gammaproteobacteria; Enterobacterales; Bruguierivoracaceae. The record is from Rfam.
UGCGCCGUCAUUAGGGAGUAGCCUAUUUUUGCCUUGUAGCGAAAAUGCCCGUGUCAACAUACUCGUUUCUUUGGUAAACGUGGUGCGGGCGGCCUUCAUCGGCUGGCGAGACUAUAGACAUGCGGACCUGCCGGUAAGGUU